GCGUCGUCCUCCCUCCUCCCCGUUUUCGUCUUCGAUCCGCGGGACUUCGGCAAGUCCCCCUCGGGGUUCGACCGGACGGGCCCGUACCGCGCCAACUUCCUGCUCGAUUCGGUCGCCGACCUGCGCCGGAGCCUCCGCGCCCGCGGUGGGGACCUGGUGGUGCGCGUGGGUAGGCCCGAAGUGGUCAUUCCCGAGCUCGCGCGGGCGGCGGGCGCGGAGGCCGUGUACGCUCACGGGGAGGUAUCGCGGGACG
This 253-nucleotide long non-coding RNA is filed under the name Zea mays. Its description in RNAcentral is "long non-coding RNA (ZMAY_LNC001242)". Lineage: Eukaryota; Viridiplantae; Streptophyta; Magnoliopsida; Poales; Poaceae. The record is from RNAcentral.